GCGACAUUAGCUCAGUUGGUAGAGCGCAACCUUGCCAAGGUUGAGGUCACGAGUUCGAACCUCGUGUGUCGCUCCA
RNAcentral lists this transfer RNA (76 nucleotides) under Vibrio alginolyticus. RNAcentral's name for it is "tRNA-Gly". It matches the Rfam family "tRNA". From Rfam's summary of the family: Transfer RNA (tRNA) molecules are approximately 80 nucleotides in length. Their secondary structure includes four short double-helical elements and three loops (D, anti-codon, and T loops). Further hydrogen bonds mediate the characteristic L-shaped molecular structure. tRNAs have two regions of fundamental functional importance: the anti-codon, which is responsible for specific mRNA codon recognition, and the 3' end, to which the tRNAs corresponding amino acid is attached (by aminoacyl-tRNA synthetases). tRNAs cope with the degeneracy of the genetic code in two manners: having more than one tRNA (with a specific anti-codon) for a particular amino acid; and 'wobble' base-pairing, i.e. permitting non-standard base-pairing at the 3rd anti-codon position. The record is from RNAcentral. Lineage: Bacteria; Pseudomonadati; Pseudomonadota; Gammaproteobacteria; Vibrionales; Vibrionaceae. RNAcentral also lists the same sequence under 1 other name.